UGCACACACUUAGCAAGACAAGUCGAGUCAUCAACGACAGUCUCUUUCUAGGGUCCUCCACGCGCAUUCCCACGGAGGUUUCCUUGGCGAAGGAUAUCCUCCGACCCUUCGGGAGUCGGAGGUCCCUCGGGCAAAGGGUAUCCUCAGACGCUACCAGGGGGAAGGAUGCGGCCAUUCCCCAACAAUCACUAUGCAGAUCUACUCAUGUGGAGUCUAGCAAAAUUGAACUUUUUAUUUUAUGAUUGUUUUGUGAUUUACUAUGAUUUUUAAAGAUUCAACCAAAAUAAAAAAAAAGAAAAAGACUCAACCACCUUUAAAACCGCUUACAACCGGGCAAGUGAGGUAAAACGCACACAGUUUCAAAAGUUGAGGGAGAUGGUUUGUCCGAUUUUGGAGUUCAGACAGGAAAAACAGACUUUUGCAAAAGUUGGGGGAGGAAAAGUGGACUUUUUUUCUCAAAAAUUAACUAGCCUCUUACCACUAUUGCCAAGCUAAGCCCAAGUCUGGCUAGCCCGCAGUGAGCAUCCGCGUUUUGACAGGGCUAUCAUAUGGCCCAUGGACAGCCAACCAACCUACACUUAGGAGUUAAGACGUCCCAACGGCUUUUACAAAUCGCUGGCUCACGUGAAGCCUAUAUAAAAACAAUUAAAAAAUAAAAAGUUAGAUAGCAGUAAGUAUGUCAGAAACUUGAAAAAAUGUUAGAAACAUGUGAGCUUAGCUUAUCUGCACUCGCGGCCGGCGACGAGGACUUCUGCCUCAUCUCCUACCUUUGUCCUGGCGGUUGAAUCAAAUGACCACGAGAGGAGAGCGUAGGAGAAGGAUUUGGUGGUAACGCUACAACUUCCUGAAUGCAAGCUACUCAUUUGGUUUGGUGAAACAAACUCUAGUCUUACUGACCACAGCGAAGCCAGCGGGCGAGGCCUGACACGGCGGGCAUGAAAUCAAACACGCCCAGUACUAUGCAACAGUAUUAUCAAAAAAAUAUGUAUAUUGGCCAUGUUUUCUUCGCUUCAUCCAUAUAUAUACUAAUCACAUAUGCUUUCAACCACAUACUUACGUCCUAUUUGGCAUAACUUAACUUCACUAGUAAAACUUCAUGAGUAACUUUCUAGAUAAAACUGAGCUAUUUUGGAAAAAGUGUUUGGUAAAAUAUAUAGCUUCACCAACUACUUUUUGCAUAAAUGAGAAGAGAGAAAUGAGAGAGAG
RNAcentral lists this long non-coding RNA (1206 nucleotides) under Sorghum bicolor (sorghum). RNAcentral's name for it is "long non-coding RNA (SBIC_LNC007640)". The record is from RNAcentral. Lineage: Eukaryota; Viridiplantae; Streptophyta; Magnoliopsida; Poales; Poaceae.